CAGUUCAUCUUUGUGAUCUGAACAGACAUCUGAACUCUGGAAACAAAGUCUAUCUUUCUGGUUUAAACUUAACAUACACCAUGUUUAAAAAGUUUCUUUUAUUUGUACUUCUGAACGUUUUACCAUGUAUUGAAUGUCAGACAUUCACUCAGUCUGAAGCAGUGGUUAAAAAACCAGGAGAGUCUCACAAACUUACAUGUACAAUAACUGGAUUUACUUUCAGCGGUCUCGAACUGAGCUGGAUCAGACAGAGCCCUGGAAAAGGACUGGAGUGGAUUGCAUACAUUGACACAGCUAGUACUCCAAUCUACUAUUCCCAGUCAGUUCAGGGCAGGUUCACAGUGUCCAGAGAUGAUUCCAGCAGUCAACUGUAUCUACAGAUGAACAGCCUCAAGACUGAAGACACUGCUGUGUAUUACUGCGCUAGAGAGUCACAGUGAAUGAGUUCAGUGUCAAAGCAAUACAAAAACUACUUCCUCAUUCACAUA
This is a non-coding RNA of Cyprinus carpio (common carp), 488 nucleotides long. The record is from the annotation of a RefSeq genome assembly. Lineage: Eukaryota; Metazoa; Chordata; Actinopteri; Cypriniformes; Cyprinidae.